UACGUAGGGGGCAAGCGUUGUCCGGAAUCAUUGGGCGUAAAGAGCGUGUAGGCGGACUUAAAGGUCUGGUGUGAAAGCCCGGGGCUCAACCCCGGAGGGUCACUGGAAACCAUAAGUCUUGAAUCUGGAAGAGGAGAGUGGAAUUCCUGGUGUAGCGGUGGAAUGCGCAGAUAUCAGGAGGAACACCAAUGGCGAAGGCAGCUCUCUGGUACAUGAUUGACGCUGAGACGCGAAAGCGUGGGGAGCGAACAGGAUUAGAUACCCUGGUAGUCCACGCCGUAAACGAUGGGUGCUAGGUGUGGGAGGUGUCGACUCCUUCCGUGCCGAAGCUAACGCAUUAAGCACCCCGCCUGGGGAGUACGGCCGCAAGGCUAAA
This 376-nucleotide ribosomal RNA is filed under the name uncultured bacterium. RNAcentral's name for it is "bacterial SSU rRNA". It matches the Rfam family "Bacterial small subunit ribosomal RNA", at positions 524 to 898 of the family's 1533-position model. The record is from RNAcentral.